Molecule: ribosomal RNA, 501 nt
Filed under: uncultured bacterium
Lineage: Bacteria
Description: partial 16S ribosomal RNA
Rfam family: Bacterial small subunit ribosomal RNA
Source: RNAcentral
AUUGAACGCUGGCGGCAGGCUUAACACAUGCAAGUCGAGCGGAGCGAGGGUGCUUGCACCUUAGCUUAGCGGCGGACGGGUGAGUAAUGCUUAGGAAUCUGCCUAUUAGUGGGGGGCAACAUUCCGAAAGGGAUGCUAAUACCGCAUACGCCCUACGGGGGAAAGCAGGGGAUCUUCGGACCUUGCGCUAAUAGAUGAGCCUAAGUCGGAUUAGCUAGUUGGUGGGGUAAAGGCCUACCAAGGCGACGAUCUGUAGCGGGCCUGAGAGGAUGAUCCGCCACACUGGGACUGGAACAAGGCCCAGACUCCUACGGGAGGCAGCAGUGGGGAAUAUUGGACAAUGGGCGGAAGCCUGAUCCAGCCAUGCCGCGUGUGUGAAGAAGGCCUUUUGGUUGUAAAGCACUUUAAGCGAGGAGGAGGCUACUAGUAUUAAUACUACUGGAUAGUGGACGUUACUCGCAGAAUAAGCACCGGCUAACUCUGUGCCAGCCGCCGCCGUAA